Mauremys reevesii (Reeves's turtle) is the source of this 1711-nucleotide non-coding RNA. The record is from the annotation of a RefSeq genome assembly. NCBI's taxonomy places the organism in Eukaryota, Metazoa, Chordata, Testudines, Geoemydidae.
GGUUGGGUCGGUCCCUUUAGGACAGAGCUAUAAGGAGGGGGAGCCACUGUGUGAGCAAGAGAUUUGCAUGAAGGGGCCAUUCUUCAGCUCUGGGGAUUUAAGAGAGAAUCAGAGGGUUCCUGGAAGAGAGACGUGAUCCUCUGGAUUCUCACCAUGGCCUGGGCCCCUCUGCUCCUCGCGCUGCUCACUUACUGCAUUGGUUUCAGUUCCCAGCAGCUCCAGUCGCUGAAGGUGUCCGAGUUAGUGGCUCCUGGAGGGACCGUGACCCUCUCCUGCAGCCUGAGCACUGGGGCCCUCACUGAUAAUAACUACCCGCUCUGGGUUCAACAGAGAAUGGGGAAAGUUCCCCAGCUGAUCAUGCACCAUACCAGUACCAGGCCCUCCGGGAUUCCAGCGCGUUUCACUGGCUCCAGAUCGGGUAACACCAUGUCCUUGACCAUCACGGGAGCCCUAGCAGAGGACGACGCUGAUUAUUACUGUUCUGUGUGGACUGGGAGUGCUCUUCACAGUGGUACAAUCAGAUGGGGAAGUGAUACAAAAACCUCCCGCCCCACUUCUGCCCUGCUGGGAGCUGUGGUGGCUGCAGAGCCCAGGGGAUAAGUGAGGUAUUUUGCAAAGAUGAGCAUCUCCCCCUGUGAAUUCCACCUCUUCCCUCUCUGUGCAGGGUUUCCCAGCAUCAUCCCAGCUGAUUGCCACAGUUAGCUAGAAAGGAUAAGAUAUUGUCUCACCCACCUUGUCUCCCUAAUAUCCUGGGACCAACAUGGCUGCAACCCAGCAAACAACAGUUAGAAGAAGCAGGCGGGUGGAGUGAUAGAGAGGAAAGAGAAUCGUAAAAGGAAAGAGAAGGAGCAGGAGCCGUUAGAUGAAAUUCCAUCUCUGGGGCAGCUCCAGUUUCUCCAUUCCCCACCCUUUUCCCCCUCUACUUGGCCGUCCCCCUACACAGCAGCUGUCGGGGCGCUGGCUGGCUGGCAGCAUCCCGCUCCCUCUUGACGUCCAUUCUUUCUUCAUGAAGAAGGUCAGGCAGUGAGUGAUGCCCUGACUCCCCUCUCAGCUCUCUCUGGUUGGGGCUGGGUUUGUGACGCUGGGUGGCCAAGCCCCAAUUGAAGUUGGCUUUUACUCAUUGAAGGGAUGAUUCUUCGUCACCCCAGAGGGGUGCAGAGUCCUGACAGGAGACCCAGGGAGAUCCUGUUGCAUGGAGGUGGCAGGGUGCAGGGAGCCUGCACAGAUACAUUCCCCACAGCCCCUGUGUACCUCCAUCCCAGCAUGCAGGGGAGUUUCAGGUACAGGAGGAAGCCAGUGGAUCCGUGGCUGUGUGUGACAGAAGGCCCCCCUGUAUUCACAGCCUGCACACUACUGCCCUGGCCCCCGCAAAGGGGAGGGGAAAGGAAUGUGCAGACCCUGCGAAGCCUGAGUUGCAGGAGGGAUUCCUCAGCAAGAGAAGAAUUCACACACGAGUCCAUUAAAACAAAUGAACUCACGGAUUCACUGGGAAAAGUUCCGUCCCUUCCAGCCGUCUUUGAAAAGCCUUGUGGCCACAGGUUAGAUGUUUGUACAAAUUGAAAGUGCAAUGUCCUUCAAACUGAAGGAAACGAGACUCCCUGAAAUAGACACCAAACAUCUUCCAAGCCGUGUUACAUUAGUGAAUCCCUAUAUAUCAGUGCAAGGAUUUCAAAAAACAAGACAAACGUCAUUUAUUGCUGAAAAAAGAAAC